Polypterus senegalus (gray bichir) is the source of this 322-nucleotide long non-coding RNA. RefSeq lists it as uncharacterized. The record is from RefSeq and is a predicted model, not a curated record. The transcript is spliced from 2 exons. Lineage: Eukaryota; Metazoa; Chordata; Cladistia; Polypteriformes; Polypteridae.
CAUUUUGAAUUAUUUGUGCACUUUCUGAAUGGUUUCUAACUGGACAUGACAUUCCCUUGAAGAUGAACUGCUGUGGUUGUACACUGGAGUUUAUUUUUUUAUUUUUCACUCCACCUCAUGCCUACAGGCAGUAGAGACAAAAAGCGAGAGAAAACAAUCGAGCUGAGCAUUCCUAUGACAUGCUGUGGUCAUAUUGUCUUCAUUGAUCCAAAACAUCCUAACUGCUUGUGACUGGCUGGAUGCCAACAAAAACCAACUUGUUGGGACAGUCCUCCGGCCAAGAAUUCUGGAAAUGGACGAGGAUGAAGUUACAUACACAAUU